This is a long non-coding RNA of Drosophila ficusphila, 1432 nucleotides long. RefSeq lists it as uncharacterized. The record is from RefSeq and is a predicted model, not a curated record. The transcript has 2 exons. Lineage: Eukaryota; Metazoa; Arthropoda; Insecta; Diptera; Drosophilidae.
CUGUAGCGACCAGAUAGUUUAGUUCGGCCUAGAAGCAUGCUUUAAAAUAUAUCUAAGCUCGGCUUAGUGUCUUAGCUAAUUACACAUAUGUUUGAUAAAUCAGCUGUAACAGAGAUGCAGUGGGAAGCUCGUUUUAGACAUCUGGUGUUAUCAUCUGUGGCGAACUUCCGACCAUACCCUAGCCUAACACUACCUAUAUUUGGUAAGGUUCUUUUCUGAUUGACAUCCGAUAUGAGCAGACGUGCCAAUUUUUCUCAACGUCAACAAAGUUUUGUUUAAAUACUAUAUAUUGAAAUCGUGGAAAAUAAUAAGAGGAAUAAGUGCAGCGAGCCUAGCUGAGUAAUAUUUUUGUGAUUAAUUUUGGAAAACUAUUGAGAUAUAUAUAUGAUAUAUAUAUUUCUCACGUGGCCAUCAAUACUGGCAUCCGUGGGAGCUCCCCUUCAAGACAGUGGGGGGCAUGAUUUAAUAUCGUGCCCCAAAUUAAAUCGGACAAGAAAAAUGAGGAGUUUCAACUGGAAUUAAAUUCAAGAAUGCGGCAUUAAAGAAGUGAUUUGGAGAGAUGUUUAACCCUCUCUACCCACGGCAGCAGCAGCAGCAGAUUUAGUAUAGCCAAAUAUGGACACAAAAGGGAAUAUAUAACCUGGAAUUGCUUUUAAGCCGCUACUGCGAUUUUUUUUUAAAGUGAAAUAUUAUAAUUAAAAAUUUGAAAGUUUUGAAACGUGCCAAAGUGAAGAAAAUUUAAUGAAUCAAAGAUAGCAACAUGCCGUAAAAAUCAAGUUUAAGUGAUAUUUUCUAAAGUCUGAAUGAUUCAGUCUAAAACGUAAUAUUUAAAUUAAAUUAAAUUUAAAACUUAAUUUUUCACGAGUGGAGUUAUUUACGCAUCGAUUUUGUUUUGGAAAAUUCGCUCAACUAUGACUUAAAAGCGAUAAAUUAAAUAUUUAUUUUUUUUUUUGUAAAUUUAAAUAUAAUUUGAAAAUAGCAACUUCUGAUAAGAAACAAUAGUGAAUAUUAAAUUUAAAAAUGUGGUCAAGUGAAGAUAUCACAGUCGGUUCUCAGUAAAAUAUGUAGGCCUAAAAGGGUUCCAAGUUAAAAGAUUUUUAUAGAAUAGUUUUGUGUUUUCGAGCCCCAAUUUCACCCUUUACAGCCACCUGCCCGGGAGAUCGAUCUUUCGCCGCUGGAACAACGUAUAAGCUGUGAGUUUAUUAUUCUCAUUAUUGCAUUUAUAUCUAUUCUAUUUAUAUCUUAUUGCGAAAUACUCUAUGAAAUAAUUUUUAACAAUCUACUUGAAUGAAACUGUGAAUUUAAAGAACCCUGAACCGAUAGCCUCACUAAACUAAAUUAAAUUAAACAAAAAGAUAUCAAACAGAAUGAAGAUGAUUUAGUGAAAUAAAAAAAUAAAUUAAAGCAAUGAAAUUUAAAUAUCUAUUGUUAU